AGAGUUUGAUUAUGGCUCAGGAUGAACGCUGGCGGCGUGCCUAACACAUGCAAGUCGAACGAGGCAUUUUGAUUGAAGUUUUCGGAUGGAUUUCAAGAUACCGAGUGGCGGACGGGUGAGUAACGCGUGGGUAACCUGCCUCAUACAGGGGGAUAACGGUUAGAAAUGACUGCUAAUACCGCAUAAGCGCACAGUACCGCAUGGUACGGUGUGAAAAACUCCGGUGGUAUGAGAUGGACCCGCGUCUGAUUAGCUAGUUGGUGAGGUAACGGCCCACCAAGGCGACGAUCAGUAGGGGUUCUGAGAGGAAGGUCCCCCACAUUGGAACUGAGACACGGUCCAA
RNAcentral lists this ribosomal RNA (343 nucleotides) under uncultured bacterium. RNAcentral describes it as "bacterial SSU rRNA". It matches the Rfam family "Bacterial small subunit ribosomal RNA", at positions 8 to 334 of the family's 1533-position model. The record is from RNAcentral.